CCAUCUCCUCAACUCGCAUCGUAACUAUUUGAAGCUUUUCUACUUGCUAACUUGUAGAAUUAUCUUUGUUGUCUCUAUGAUAACUACUUUAUGAUUGAUUUUUCAAGUUUUCAGUUUUUCUGCUACCAUUUUUUACACAAUUGGUGACCUAUCUGUAGGCAGACCAGGCUACCAAGUUCCAUGUCUACAACGUCCAGAAAAUGAAUAACUAUUUGAAGCUUUUCUACUUGCUGACUUGUAGAAUUAUCUUUGUUGUCUCUGUGAUAACUACUUUAUGAUUGAUUUUUCAAGUUUUCAGUUUUUCUGCUACCAUUUUUUACACAAUUGGUGACCUAUCUGUAGGCAGACCAGGCUACCAAGAUCCAUGUCUACGGCGUCCAGAAAAUGAAUAACUAUUUGAAGCUUUUCUACUUGCUGACUUGUAGAAUUAUCUUUGUUGUCUCUGUGAUAACUGCUUUAUGAUUGAUUUUUCAAGUUUUCAGUUUUUUUACUACCAUUUUUUACACAAUUGGUGACCUAUCUGUAGGCAGACCAGGCUACCAAGUUCCAUGUCUACAACGUCCAGAAAAUGAAUAACUGUUUGAAG
RNAcentral lists this long non-coding RNA (586 nucleotides) under Musa acuminata (dwarf banana). RNAcentral describes it as "long non-coding RNA (MACU_LNC003234)". The record is from RNAcentral. Lineage: Eukaryota; Viridiplantae; Streptophyta; Magnoliopsida; Zingiberales; Musaceae.